CCUUAGUUGACCUAGAUCCCACCGUACAUGCCUAAAAGCUGGCUGGCUUAUUCCACUUUCGAAUUAUUUGUGUUUCUAAGGAGCCUUUUUUUACUCUUUGUCACAGGUUUUAGAAAAUCUCAUCUUCUGUGUUGUCACCAGGAUCUCUCUCUGGACUCCUCUUAGCUCCUGAAUUCUUGUCAUCUGCAUGGAGAAUUCAGAUGGGACACACAGAACACAGCAUAAGAGACAGGCUGUGUAGAGAGCAGUGAAAUGCACUCAUGGACAGUGGCUAAAGAGACAGCUGUCUCCUCCAUUUCAGGGGUGACCAUGGACUCUGAGAAAAUUUAUGAAGAGUGACUUCAAGGAGAAAGAUCAACUUACAGUAAUGUGUGGCUCUUGUUCAGACCUCAAAACGCUGAUUGCAUGGAAAACAGAGAGGCCUUCUUCGUGCUGUCAACUAAAAUACCUACACUCCAUCCUACUGACAGGCAGAACAUUUCCCACCUACGUGGUAGCCCAGGGCACUGAUAAUUCUCAAUGACAAGCAGAGAGAAGACACAUCAUCAGAGAAACUGAAGGAGGAGUUGCACCUGACUCAUACUUUUCAGAGUUCUGCCACAGAGGGAGAAGUCACCUGCCUUGUCUGGGAAUCAGCAAAUCUGGAUUCUAUUUAUAGAUUCCCUUUAACCUGUCUGCUCUCAGUUCUGUCUUCACCCCAGAUUUAGAAAGAUCAGAUAUCUGCAGUGUUUCAGCCUUUCAAAUGCAAGCUGCUAAUUUGCUCUUCACAUUUACCUAUUUUUUUUUCUUCAGGGUUAAACUUUUUCAAGUCUGGAAAACUCAGAUAUCACGAGUCCACUGCCUUUGCUGAUUCCAGGUCUCUUGCAAUAUUCUUCAUUCCCAACCUGCUAGUUUCAUGAUUUAACCCAUGUUUAGCAGUUUGGUAGAAGAAAAUGAAGGUGACUGUCUAGCACACACAAUCUCAGUAUUCAAGGAAGAAGCAGGUAGAUCUCUGUGAGUUCAAGGUUAGCCUGGUCUACAUAGCAAACAAACA
Molecule: long non-coding RNA, 1033 nt
Organism: Mus caroli (Ryukyu mouse)
Lineage: Eukaryota; Metazoa; Chordata; Mammalia; Rodentia; Muridae
Source: RefSeq, a predicted model, not a curated record